CCUACGGGAGGCAGCAGUGAGGAAUAUUGGUCAAUGGCCGCAGGCCUGAACCAGCCAAGUCGCGUGAGGGAUGACGGUCCUAUGGAUUGUAAACCUCUUUUGUCAGGGAGCAAAGGGCGCCACGUGUGGCGUUUUGCGAGUACCUGAAGAAAAAGCAUCGGCAAACUCCGUGCCAGCAGCCGCGGUAAUACGGAGGAUGCGAGCGUUAUCCGGAUUUAUUGGGUUUAAAGGGUGCGCAGGCGGAAUGUCAAGUCAGCGGUAAAAUUUCGGGGCUCAACCCCGUCGUGCCGUUGAAACUGGGGUUCUUGAGUGAGCGAGAAGUAUGCGGAAUGCGUGGUGUAGCGGUGAAAUGCAUAGAUAUCACGCAGAACUCCGAUUGCGAAGGCAGCAUACCGGCGCUCAACUGACGCUGAUGCACGAAAGCGUGGGUAUCGAACAGGAUUAGAUACCCUAGUAGUC
Molecule: ribosomal RNA, 459 nt
Filed under: uncultured bacterium
Lineage: Bacteria
Description: partial 16S ribosomal RNA
Rfam family: Bacterial small subunit ribosomal RNA
Source: RNAcentral